Non-coding RNA from Coturnix japonica (Japanese quail), 518 nucleotides. Lineage: Eukaryota; Metazoa; Chordata; Aves; Galliformes; Phasianidae. The record is from RefSeq and is a predicted model, not a curated record.
ACAAGCAGGCAGGAUGGCUGCAGUCAGAACGUAACAUUUAUUUCUACUGCUCCUUGUUCUUUUCAUCUGAUCCAUCACAAGUUUGUGGUACAUAGGAAAUCAGAGUCCAAUUCUGAAUCAUUUCUCCCACUGAUUGCCUGCUGUGUGUUGGCUUGGUUCACAGAGAGGUUUUGUUUUUCAUGAACUGGAAUGGGAAAAACUACCAGAGUUUCACUGCAGGCCUCACUAGCUGUGCAGUGCAGUACAAGGAAUGGGCUCAUAUCCAAUGCCCUAUGAAAUAGAUAGAAAUUGAUUCCAGUGCACCUACAAUUGAUCUCAAGUUGCAGAACAGCAAAAAGAACUUGGAGAUUCUUGAUGACUUACUUCUCUUCAGUAAAUGAAUAUUACCUUACAUUUGUGGAAAUGGAAGUCAAGGAAGGGAACAGGUCGAAGACAACCCGCUUCUCUGUAAGAGAAAGAAAACAGAUGAUGGAGAAAACACAGAAAUGUCUUAGCAAAAAAUAAAGUUUCUCUUCUUA